CCUACGGGAGGCAGCAGUGAGGAAUAUUGGUCAAUGGGCGAAAGCCUGAACCAGCCAAGUAGCGUGCAGGAUGACGGCCCUACGGGUUGUAAACUGCUUUUAUACGGGAAUAACGCGCCUUACGUGUAGGGCUUUGCAUGUACCGUAUGAAUAAGGACCGGCUAAUUCCGUGCUAGCAGCCGCGGUAAUACGGAAGGUCCGGGCGUUAUCCGGAUUUAUUGGGUUUAAAGGGAGCGUAGGCCGCAUGUCAAGAGUGCUGUGAAAUGUCCGGGCUCAACCCGGGCCUUGCAGCGCGAAAUGGCGUGCUUGAGUCCGCGGAAAGCAGGCGGAAGUCGUCGUGUAGCGGUGACAUGCUUAGAUAUGACGAAGAACCCCGAUUGCGAAGGCAGCUUGCUGCAGCGGAACUGACGCUGAUGCUCGAAAGCGCGGGUAUCGAACAGGAUUAGAUACCCUUGUAGUC
RNAcentral lists this ribosomal RNA (460 nucleotides) under uncultured bacterium. Its description in RNAcentral is "partial 16S ribosomal RNA". It matches the Rfam family "Bacterial small subunit ribosomal RNA", at positions 338 to 795 of the family's 1533-position model. The record is from RNAcentral.